GCAUGUAAUUCUCUAACAUAACAAUAUCACACUCAAGCAUAGCACAUGACAUUUUAGGUGAAAUGUUCAAAUUAAAACUAUAAAUUAUUACACCCAUAUUAUUCCCCUACCAAGCACAUUCAAGCAGGUGGUGACUUCCGCAGACC
This is a long non-coding RNA of Phyllostomus discolor (pale spear-nosed bat), 146 nucleotides long. RefSeq lists it as uncharacterized. The transcript has 3 exons. The record is from RefSeq and is a predicted model, not a curated record. Lineage: Eukaryota; Metazoa; Chordata; Mammalia; Chiroptera; Phyllostomidae.